UGAGAGGAUAUAAUAUUAACCGUCAGAUGAAAAUCAACGAUCGAGAUUAAAUUAAAUCUUUAAACCAAGCAAGCAUGUGAUCACUGUUCACACAAUUACUCUAAAAAAACCAGAUCUCUUCUUCUUCUUCAGUUUCUCUUCUCAGUUCUCGUAAUUAUCUCAGGUCUAAAACUACCAUGACUUCAAUUUGCUUCAAAUCAAAAUUGGACUGAAAAUAAUUCUAAAUCA
Molecule: long non-coding RNA, 228 nt
Filed under: Trifolium pratense (red clover)
Lineage: Eukaryota; Viridiplantae; Streptophyta; Magnoliopsida; Fabales; Fabaceae
Description: long non-coding RNA (TPRA_LNC000869)
Source: RNAcentral